CGCAGCCGCGGUAAUUCCAGCUCCAAUAGCGUAUAUUAAAGUUGUUGCAGUUAAAAAGCUCGUAGUUGAAUUUCGGGAUCAAUAUAUCGGUCGUGCCUUGGUACGUACUGGUAUCAUUGGUUUCUCCUUUCUGACGAACCAUGAUGUCAUUAAUUUGGUGUUAUGGGAAGUUAGGACUGUUACUUUGAAAAAUUAGAGUGUUUAAAGCAGGCUUUGGCUUGAAUACAUUAGCAUGGAAUAAUGAAAUAGGACGUUCGAACCUAUUUUGUUGGUUUUUAGGAUCAACGUAAUGAUUAAUAGGGAUAGUUGGGGGCAUUAGUAUUCAAUUGUCAGAGGUGAAAUUCUUGGAUUUAUUGAAGACUAACUACUGCGAAAGCAUUUGCCAAGGAUGUUUUCAUUAAUCAAGAACGAAAGUUAGGGGAUCGAAGACGAUCAGAUACCGUCGUAGUCCUAACCAUAAACUAUGCCGACUAGGGAUCGGAUGAUGUUAAUUUUUUAAUGACUCAUUCGGCGCCUUACG
This 520-nucleotide unclassified non-coding RNA is filed under the name uncultured Glomus. RNAcentral's name for it is "SSU rRNA". It matches the Rfam family "Eukaryotic small subunit ribosomal RNA", at positions 569 to 1092 of the family's 1831-position model. Lineage: Eukaryota; Fungi; Glomeromycota; Glomeromycetes; Glomerales; Glomeraceae. The record is from RNAcentral.